Molecule: ribosomal RNA, 442 nt
Filed under: Ophraella notulata
Lineage: Eukaryota; Metazoa; Arthropoda; Insecta; Coleoptera; Chrysomelidae
Description: 16S ribosomal RNA, large subunit
Source: RNAcentral
NNNNNNNAAUGGCCGCAGUAUUUUGACUGUGCUAAGGUUGCAUAAUCAUUAGUUUUUUAAUUGAAAGCUGGAAUGAAGGGUUGGAUGAAAAAAAGACUAUUUUUAUUUAAUUAUAUUAAAAUUUUAUUUUUAAGUUAAAAAGCUUAAAUUCUAUUAAAAGACGAGAAGACCCUAUAGAGUUUAAUAUAAAUUAAUUUUAAUAAAAUUAGGAUUUAAUUUUUUAUUUUAAAUUUAUAUUUAAUUGGGGUGAUUGAAAAAUUUAUUGAACUUUUUCUUUAUUUUAAUAUAAAUAAAUAAUUUCUUGAUCCAAUAGUUUUGAUUAUAAGAUAAAAUUACCUUAGGGAUAACAGNGUAAUUUUAUUAGAGAGUUCAAAUCGAUAAUAAAGUUUGCGACCUCGAUGUUGGAUUAAAAUUUAUAAUUGGUGUAGAAGCUAAUUAAUUA